This 424-nucleotide ribosomal RNA is filed under the name uncultured prokaryote. RNAcentral describes it as "bacterial SSU rRNA". It matches the Rfam family "Bacterial small subunit ribosomal RNA", at positions 355 to 796 of the family's 1533-position model. The record is from RNAcentral.
UGGGGAAUUUUGCACAAUGGGGGAAACCCUGAUGCAGCAACGCCGCGUGAGUGAUGAAGGCCCUAGGGUUGUAAAGCUCUUUCAGCAGGGAAGAUGAUGACGGUACCUGCAGAAGAAGCCCCGGCUAACUCCGUGCCAGCAGCCGCGGUAAUACGGAGGGGGCUAGCGUUGUUCGGAUUUACUGGGCGUAAAGCGCGCGUAGGCGGCUUGGAUAGUUGGGAGUGAAAGCCCGGGGCUCAACCCCGGAACUGCUCUCAAAACUUCCAAGCUAGAGAUCUGGAGAGGAGGGUGGAAUUCCAAGUGUAGAGGUGAAAUUCGUAGAUAUUUGGAAGAACACCAGUGGCGAAGGCGACUCUCUGGCCAGAUACUGACGCUGAGGUGCGAAAGCGUGGGGAGCAAACAGGAUUAGAUACCCCCGUAGUCC